RNAcentral lists this long non-coding RNA (1857 nucleotides) under Vulpes vulpes (red fox). RNAcentral's name for it is "lncRNA (ENSVVUG00000004281.1)". The record is from RNAcentral. Lineage: Eukaryota; Metazoa; Chordata; Mammalia; Carnivora; Canidae.
ACCCCCGAAAUACAAAAACAUUAAUGGACUCCUGUGUUUAUUUUUUUUUUAAUUUUUUUAUUAUUUAUUUAUGAGAGUCAUACAGAGAGAGAGAGACAUAGAGAGAGAGAGAGAGGCAGAGACAUAGGUAGAGGGAGAAGCAGGCUCCAUGCACCGGGAGCCCGACGUGGGAUUCGAUCCCGGGUCUCCAGGAUCGCGCCCUGGGCCAAAGGCAGGCGCCAAACCGCUGCGCCACCCAGGGAUCCCAAACUCCUGUGUUUAUUGCAGCUUUAUUUACAAUAGCUAAACUAUGAAAACAGCUCAAGCGUCCAUUGAUAGGUGAAUGGUAGUCAUAAAAAAGAAUGAAAUCUUGCCAUUUGCAGCAAUAUGGAUGGAGUUGAAGAGUAUAAUGGUAAGUGAAAUAAGUCAGGAGGAGAAAGAUAUCAUGAGAUAGUACUCAUUUGUAGAACUUAAACAAAAUAAGCAAAGAAAAAGAGAGGGAGAAACUAAGAGACUCUUAACUAUAGAGAACAAAGUGAUGGUUACCAUGGUGGGACAUGGGUGGGAGGAUGUGUGAAAUGGGUGAUGGGGAUUAAGGAAUGCACUUUUCAUGAUAAAAAACAGUAAAAAUAUUGCAAAGGUACACUAAUGAGCCAAGUUACUAAGACAUCUGACUCAUAGGUAAUUCUUUGCAAAUAGAUUAAGAGAAUCUGGGGAAUCUAAUAUUUUUGACCCAAAUAUCUUUGUUCGGACACUUCAUAAAGCUAUAAUCUUAACAUCCACAGACGAAAAAGGAAGUUAGUGAUGCUGAAAACACAGAGAAUUGCAGGGAGAAUUCAGGACACUCAGGCACAACACAAAGAAAUCUCUCAAUUAUGAUGAAGUUUUCGAGUGUCAAGAAGCAUGGAACAAUACCAAGUACUGCAAUGUCACAUCAAUGUGAUGCUGAUGGCUAUUUUGACCUUCAAGAACUCCGGCCUGUGAGGCUAAGAGCUAAUGUGUACUUUCAUCGAUCUGAGUUGGAGACACACAGCGGGUUAUAGUGCCUGUUUUCCCUAUUUAUCGAGAAUCCUGAUGUAUAUCAGUCACUGUGCAGGACCAUGGGUAUAAAGAGUGCACGAAGAGAAACAGGUGGACUUUCUGGGAGACUUCCAGAAAGAUUGGGUGAAUUGGUGACGUUAGAAAUGAUCGUUGACCAGUAAUGUGUAAAGAGCUAGUGUCUUUCAUCAGGGUUUAAAACAUUCUUUUCCAUGCGAUUGUGGAAAAAUCAGCAGUUUUCAGUGGGUUGAUUUCAAAAGUUAGUUGGCUCCUGCUGUCAUAUAGGUAAUUUAAAAACAGUUGACAAUUAUUUUUAACCUGAUGAUAAAGAGACAAGUGUGGUUGUUUGAAAUAGGAAUAGUCUAAACUUUCACCAGAUCUGCACAAAAUGAUUAGGUGAGUGAAGGAAUUUGGGUUAGCCUAAUUCUCUUAUUCUUUAAAGCAAGAACUUGCCCUCCUUUCCCUCCUUCCCACCUUGACUCCCCUGUGUCCAUGCUAACAUGGCAGCCGCAGGCCACUUCUGUGUGUCAGACACUUAAUGUGACUAGCGUGACUGAGCAACUAAAUUUUAUUUAAUUUUAAUUCAUCUAAAUUUAAUUUUAAAAAAUGAAGCAGUAUACGAUAUUUUCUGCUAAACACAACUCUACCAUUUGGUAGGACUCUCUUUCUCUUCACUUGUUGAAAUGCAUGGGCUGUCACUGUUGCUCUGUCAUGAGCAUUUGGGGCACAUGUGUUGUUUCUAGUAUAACUCAGAACCACAUAUUGAUCUGCUUGAUGUCAAUGGAUUGAUUCAGUUCUAUUUUUUUUCUACUUGCCUAAGCAAUGUAGUAUGUAUUUUAU